GUUAAAGUAGCUUAAUCUAAAAGCAUAAUAUUGAAGAUAUUAAGAAGAAUUUGUUUCCUUUAAUA
This 65-nucleotide transfer RNA is filed under the name Extensus latus. RNAcentral's name for it is "tRNA-Phe". The record is from RNAcentral. Lineage: Eukaryota; Metazoa; Arthropoda; Insecta; Hemiptera; Cicadellidae.